GGUGUUAUAGUAUAGUGGUUAGUACGGCACGUUGUGGCCGUGCAGACAUGAGUUCGAUUCUCAUUAACGCCA
This is a non-coding RNA of Xylariaceae sp. FL0804, 72 nucleotides long. Lineage: Eukaryota; Fungi; Ascomycota; Sordariomycetes; Xylariales; Xylariaceae. The record is from the annotation of a GenBank genome assembly.